This 63-nucleotide transfer RNA is filed under the name Cleroidea sp. 6 KM-2017. RNAcentral's name for it is "tRNA-Arg". The record is from RNAcentral. Lineage: Eukaryota; Metazoa; Arthropoda; Insecta; Coleoptera.
UAAUAAGAAGCAAAAAAUUGCAUUUAGUUUCGACCUAAAAGUUUGGUAAUUUACCCUUAUUAU